RNAcentral lists this ribosomal RNA (835 nucleotides) under uncultured Staphylococcus sp. Its description in RNAcentral is "bacterial SSU rRNA". It matches the Rfam family "Bacterial small subunit ribosomal RNA", at positions 69 to 889 of the family's 1533-position model. Lineage: Bacteria; Bacillati; Bacillota; Bacilli; Caryophanales; Staphylococcaceae. The record is from RNAcentral.
GACGAGAAGCUUGCUUCUCUGAUGUUAGCGGCGGACGGGUGAGUAACACGUGGAUAACCUACCUAUAAGACUGGGAUAACUUCGGGAAACCGGAGCUAAUACCGGAUAAUAUUUUGAACCGCAUGGUUCAAAAGUGAAAGACGGUCUUGCUGUCACUUAUAGAUGGAUCCGCGCUGCAUUAGCUAGUUGGUAAGGUAACGGCUUACCAAGGCAACGAUGCAUAGCCGACCUGAGAGGGUGAUCGGCCACACUGGAACUGAGACACGGUCCAGACUCCUACGGGAGGCAGCAGUAGGGAAUCUUCCGCAAUGGGCGAAAGCCUGACGGAGCAACGCCGCGUGAGUGAUGAAGGUCUUCGGAUCGUAAAACUCUGUUAUUAGGGAAGAACAUAUGUGUAAGUAACUGUGCACAUCUUGACGGUACCUAAUCAGAAAGCCACGGCUAACUACGUGCCAGCAGCCGCGGUAAUACGUAGGUGGCAAGCGUUAUCCGGAAUUAUUGGGCGUAAAGCGCGCGUAGGCGGUUUUUUAAGUCUGAUGUGAAAGCCCACGGCUCAACCGUGGAGGGUCAUUGGAAACUGGAAAACUUGAGUGCAGAAGAGGAAAGUGGAAUUCCAUGUGUAGCGGUGAAAUGCGCAGAGAUAUGGAGGAACACCAGUGGCGAAGGCGACUUUCUGGUCUGUAACUGACGCUGAUGUGCGAAAGCGUGGGGAUCAAACAGGAUUAGAUACCCUGGUAGUCCACGCCGUAAACGAUGAGUGCUAAGUGUUAGGGGGUUUCCGCCCCUUAGUGCUGCAGCUAACGCAUUAAGCACUCCGCCUGGGGAGUACGACCGC